CUCGCCCGGCUAGUUUUUUGUAUUUUUUAGUAGAGACGGGGUUUCACCGUGUUAGCCAGGAUGGUCUCGAUCUCCUGACCUCGUGAUCCGCCCGUCUCGGCCUCCCAAAGUGCUGGGAUUACAGGCUUGAGCCACCGCGCCCGGCCUCUUUUUUUGUUUUCUUUUGUUUGUUUUGAGACAGGGCUCUAUGGACCAGGCUCUAUGGACCAGGCUGGACUGCAGUGUGAUCCUGGUUCACGGCAAACUUCACCUCCUGGGUUCAAGCAAUUCUUGUGCCUCAGCCUCCCAGGUAGCUGGUGUUAAACAGAUGUGUGCCACCAUGCCUGGCUAAUUUUUGUAUUUGUAGUAGAGAUGGGGUUUUGCCUUGUUGGCCAGGCUGAUCUUGAACUCCCGACCUCAAGUGAUCUACCCGCCUCGGCCUCCCAAAGUGGUGAGAUUAAAGGUGUGAGCCAUCGUGCCUGGCCCUGUGUUGUGCUCUGAUGGGGGAAGAUGGGACAGAAAGGAUGGGAGGGUGUCCGAGCCCUUCCUGGACUGACGGAACCUGUGUCUUCUGCCUUCUGUGGACAGGAUGGUGAUUGCUCACGCCAAAGCCUUGGACCCCUCCCGGCCUGUGACCUUUGUGACCAACUCCAACUAUGCAGCAGACAAGGGGGCUCCGUAUGUGGAUGUGAUCUGUGUGAACAGCUGCUACUCUUGGUAUCACGACUACAGGCACCUGGAGUUGAUUCAGCUGCAGCUGGCCACCCAGUUUGA
RNAcentral lists this long non-coding RNA (753 nucleotides) under Rhinopithecus bieti (black snub-nosed monkey). RNAcentral's name for it is "lncRNA (ENSRBIG00000045520.1)". Lineage: Eukaryota; Metazoa; Chordata; Mammalia; Primates; Cercopithecidae. The record is from RNAcentral.